RNAcentral lists this ribosomal RNA (568 nucleotides) under uncultured fungus. RNAcentral's name for it is "SSU rRNA". It matches the Rfam family "Eukaryotic small subunit ribosomal RNA", at positions 214 to 762 of the family's 1831-position model. Lineage: Eukaryota; Fungi. The record is from RNAcentral.
AUAAAAAACCAACGCCCUUCGGGGCUCCUUGGUGAAUCAUAAUAACUUAACGAAUCGCAUGGCCUUGCGCCGGCGAAUGGUUCAUUCAAAUUUCUGCCCUAUCAACUUUCGAUGGUAGGAUAGUGGCCUACCAUGGUGGCAACGGGUAACGGGGAAUUAGGGUUCGAUUCCGGGGAGGGAGCCUGAGAAACGGCUACCACAUCCAAGGAAGGCAGCAGGCGCGCAAAUUACCCAAUCCCGAUACGGGGAGGUAGUGACAAUAAAUACUGAUACAGGGCUCUUUUGGGUCUUGUAAUUGGAAUGAGUACAAUCUAAAUCCCUUAACGAGGAACAAUUGGAGGGCAAGUCUGGUGCCAGCAGCCGCGGUAAUUCCAGCUCCAAUAGCGUAUAUUAAAGUUGUUGCAGUUAAAAAGCUCGUAGUUGAACCUUGGGCCUGGCUGGCCGGUCCGCCUCACCGCGAGUACUGGUCCGGCUGGGCCUUUCCUUCUGGGGAACCCCAUGGCCUUCACUGGCCGUGGCGGGGAACCAGGACUUUUACAAUCCAUAUGACUAGUAGAUCCUCUAGAGU